UCUUCGGACCUCGCGCCAUUAGAUGAGCCUAGGUCGGAUUAGCUAGUUGGUGAGGUAAUGGCUCACCAAGGCGACGAUCCGUAACUGGUCUGAGAGGAUGAUCAGUCACACUGGAACUGAGACACGGUCCAGACUCCUACGGAGGCAGCAGUGGGAAUAUUGGACAAUGGGCGAAAGCCUGAUCCAGCCAUGCCGCGUGUGUGAAGAAGGUCUUCGGAUUGUAAAGCACUUUAAGUUGGGGGAAGGGUAGUAACCUAAUACGUUGCUACUUUGACGUUACCGACAGAAUAAGCACCGGCUAACUUCGUG
This 309-nucleotide ribosomal RNA is filed under the name uncultured bacterium. Its description in RNAcentral is "bacterial SSU rRNA". It matches the Rfam family "Bacterial small subunit ribosomal RNA", at positions 202 to 507 of the family's 1533-position model. The record is from RNAcentral.